CUUUCAUAACCCCCACAUCCACGUGUCUAGCGCCCACUCCCCAAUCCAAAUGGACCCGGGCAACAGGUAAGCUGAACACGGCGCCUCCUGCUACCCUCACUGCCACAGUGUCUCCAGUGUGCUGGUGUUCUGAGACUAGGUUCUUUGGGGGCAGUGUCAUAGUGGCUCCUGUGUCUCUCAGUCCGUUCACCACUCUGCCAUUCAGCUUCACAGUCUCCCGGUGUUGCUGACGAUUGUCCUGAUGAGCUGCUUGCACUGAGUCGGCCUCGUGUAGGAUGCC
This is a non-coding RNA of Pelobates cultripes (western spadefoot toad), 280 nucleotides long. The record is from the annotation of a GenBank genome assembly. NCBI's taxonomy places the organism in Eukaryota, Metazoa, Chordata, Amphibia, Anura, Pelobatidae.